Molecule: ribosomal RNA, 492 nt
Filed under: uncultured bacterium
Lineage: Bacteria
Description: partial 16S ribosomal RNA
Rfam family: Bacterial small subunit ribosomal RNA
Source: RNAcentral
AGUGAACGCUGGCGGUAGGCCUAACACAUGCAAGUCGAACGGCAGCACAGUAAGAGCUUGCUCUUACGGGUGGCGAGUGGCGGACGGGUGCGGAAUACAUCGGAAUCUACUUUUUCGUGGGGGAUAACGUAGGGAAACUUACGCUAAUACCGCAUACGACCUCCGUGUGAAAGCAGGGGAUCUUCGGACCUUGCGCGAUUGAAUGAGCCGAUGUCGGAUUAGCUAGUUGGCGGGGUAAAGGCCCACCAAGGCGACGAUCCGUAGCUGGUCUGAGAGGAUGAUCAGCCAGACGGGAACUGAGAAACGGUACAGACUCCUACGGGAGGCAGCAGUGGGGAAUAUUGGACAAGGGGGGCAAGCCUGAUACAGCCAUACCGCGUGGGUGAAGAAGGCCUUCGGGUGGUAAAGCCCUUUUGUUGGGAAAGAAAAGCAGCAGGUUAAUACCCCGCUGUUCUGACGGUACCCAAAGAAUAAGCACCGGCUAACUUCGUG